Molecule: ribosomal RNA, 459 nt
Filed under: uncultured bacterium
Lineage: Bacteria
Description: bacterial SSU rRNA
Rfam family: Bacterial small subunit ribosomal RNA
Source: RNAcentral
GACGAACGCUGGCGGCGUGCUUCAUACAUGCAAGUCGAACGAGAAAUUCACUUCGGUGGAUGGAAAGUGGCGGACGGGUGAGUAAUAUGUAGAGAAUCUGCCCUAGAGAGGGGACAACAGAGGGAAACUUCUGCUAAUACCCCAUAUGAGCGUAUCUGAAAUGAUAUUCUUGAAAACUCCGGUGCUCUAGGAUGAGUCUGCAUCUGAUUAGCUAGUUGGGGGUGUAAUGGACCACCAAGGCGACGAUCAGUAGCUGGUUUGAGAGGAUGAUCAGCCACAAUGGGACUGAGACACGGCCCAUACUCCUACGGGAGGCAGCAGUAGGGAAUAUUGGGCAAUGGGGGAAACCCGUGACCCAGCAACGCCGCGUGGAGGAAGAAGGUUUUCGGAUCGUAAACUCCUGUCCUCAGGGAAGAGCAGAAGACGGUACCUGAGGAGGAAGCCCCGGCUAACUACGUG